GGCCUCUUGCCAUCGGAUGUGCCCAGAUGGGAUUAGCUUGUUGGUGGGGUAACGGCUCACCAAGGCGACGAUCCCUAGCUGGUCUGAGAGGAUGACCAGCCACACUGGAACUGAGACACGGUCCAGACUCCUACGGGAGGCAGCAGUGGGGAAUAUUGCACAAUGGGCGCAAGCCUGAUGCAGCCAUGCCGCGUGUAUGAAGAAGGCCUUCGGGUUGUAAAGUACUUUCAGCGGGGAGGAAGGGAGUAAAGUUAAUACCUUUGCUCAUUGACGUUACCCGCAGAAGAAGCACCGGCUAACUCCGUGCCAGCAGCCGCGGUAAUACGGAGGGUGCAAGCGUUAAUCGGAAUUACUGGGCGUAAAGCGCACGCAGGCGGUUUGUUAAGUCAGAUGUGAAAUCCCCGGGCUCAACCUGGGAACUGCAUCUGAUACUGGCAAGCUUGAGUCUCGUAGAGGGGGGUAGAAUUCCAGGUGUAGCGGUGAAAUGCGUAGAGAUCUGGAGGAAUACCGGUGGCGAAGGCGGCCCCCUGGACGAAGACUGACGCUCAGGUGCGAAAGCGUGGGGAGCAAACAGGAUUAGAUACCCUGGUAGUCCACGCCGUAAACGAUGUCGACUUGGAGGUUGUGCCCUUGAGGCGUGGCUUCCGGAGCUAACGCGUUAAGUCGACCGCCUGGGGAGUACGGCCGCAAGGUUAAAACUCAAAUGAAUUGACGGGGGCCCGCACAAGCGGUGGAGCAUGUGGUUUAAUUCGAUGCAACGCGAAGAACCUUACCUGGUCUUGACAUCCACGGAAGUUUUCAGAGAUGAGAAUGUGCCUUCGGGAACCGUGAGACAGGUGCUGCAUGGCUGUCGUCAGCUCGUGUUGUGAAAUGUUGGGUUAAGUCCCGCAACGAGCGCAACCCUUAUCCUUUGUUGCCAGCGGUCCGGCCGGGAACUCAAAGGAGACUGCCAGUGAUAAACUGGAGGAAGGUGGGGAUGACGUCAAGUCAUCAUGGCCCUUACGACCAGGGCUACACACGUGCUACAAUGGCGCAUACAAAGAGAAGCGACCUCGCGAGAGCAAGCGGACCUCAUAAAGUGCGUCGUAGUCCGGAUUGGAGUCUGCAACUCGACUCCAUGAAGUCGGAAUCGCUAGUAAUCGUGGAUCAGAAUGCCACGGUGAAUACGUUCCCGGGCCUUGUACACACCGCCCGUCACACCAUGGGAGUGGGUUGCAAAAGAAGUAGGUAGCUUAACCUUCGGGAGGGCGCUUACCACUUUGUGAUUCAUGACUGGGGUGAAGUCGUAACAAGGUAACCGUAGGGGAACCUGCGGUUGGAUCACCUCCUUACCUUAAAGAAGC
Molecule: ribosomal RNA, 1343 nt
Filed under: Escherichia coli
Lineage: Bacteria; Pseudomonadati; Pseudomonadota; Gammaproteobacteria; Enterobacterales; Enterobacteriaceae
Description: bacterial SSU rRNA
Rfam family: Bacterial small subunit ribosomal RNA
Source: RNAcentral